GCUCUAGCUCUAUCUUCCUCCGGACCCCGAAGCUUAAGAAUUAUCCGCCUCACUCUCUUUUUUAGAAAUAGGAGGGAAAGGUAGAGUGGAAAUUGAUUUCUUGCAGAGACUGAGGCGCUGAAUGAUAGAGGGAAUAAACAUUUGCCCUGGAUAAAAAUGUUCUUGGUAAGUAAUCUUAUUUUCUGCGGUUGAAAAAGAAACAGAUUGCUUCUCACUGCCCCAUCCCCCACUCCAUUCAUUUAUUUGCUCUCUGUAUGUAAAUCACGAGCUGGGUCAGUGGAAAUUUUUUUUUCCUCUUCCCUAGGAGAGUAGUAGCUUGUAAGGGUGAAAUUGAAGUAGAGGGUUUUAAGGAGACAAUAUGAACGCUUUAAGGUCCUUUAUAUCCUGCAUUAAAAACUCAAAGACAGAUAAAGCAGUUAAAUCCCUGUUUGUUUCCAAAAGUGGUAUUUAAGUAUUUCCCUUAUUUCCUACUAACUGUCUUUCCUUUCUGAAAAUAAAGAAAAGAGUUUUAGGUAGUGGGCUCAUGUCUAUGCUUUUAGUAUGUCUUGGCCAUGUUCUGAAAUACAAUUUCAGUUCCAAAAUUAAGAAUGGUUAUUUUUCACAUUUCGCAGGUAUAUUAAAGCUAUAGAAACCACUUAUUAAAUGUGCAUCUCGGUUCCAAUUAUUGCACCAGAUACAAAUUAGUAGUAUCCACAAUGGCAUAUUGUGGUGGUACUACAAAUUCAUAAAGCCCUCUGGUUUUCCAUGAGUCUCUAGCACCCCCAGCCUGUGCACGCUCACAAUGUGAAGAGUGGAUUGGUGUAGCAGUAGGGAAGAAGCCAAACGGCUCUUGAUUGUGCUUACAUCAUAUGUCAUUAAGUGUAGAGAAUAACAUGUUUUGCAAAUUGUGUGAACUUGGUUUUCAAGAGUAAGCUGACCAUUUUUGAUGCACAAAAUUAAGGGAGAUUUGCUCUCAGAAAAAUCAUUGCAUUUUUAAUUAUAAAAUAUAUUUUACUGGUAAAACAUUUAAAUUAAACUUUCUUGUCUAUUGUUAUUAUCCUACUGCAAUUUAUUAUCCUCUAAAUUUAAUGACAAAGAAUAAGCUAAUUGGCACAAAAUGCAUUCCUGAUGAAAACAGGAUGACUGAAAAAUCAUCUGAAAUGUAUAAUACUAAAAUGUUAUUGGUAAGAUAAACUUCAUUUUAGAAAAUCAGUAUUCUAGAAAUCAGUAGUAUAAAAUUUCAGAAGAGAGGUAGUCAAGUGGCAUAUUGCAAGACAAAAUAUGUUUGUUCUCAACUAUCUAUAUAGUCUUUAUAGCCAUCAACAUUUGCAAGAGAAAAAAAAUUCACUAAGGGCAUGUUGGUAUAACACUUUUUUCUUUCUCUCCUCAGGCUGUUGUCCAGCUCUAAUGAUGUCCUAGAGCAGAAGUGUUUCUUCUGAUGUCUCAUUUUAACAAGAGGAUGAUGUCUGUGUGAGAAAUUCUACACUGAAUAAGACUGGUUGGGACUCAAAGAAGCUACAAGGAUGCACUUUUCCAGCACAAACAUGUUCUAGGUUGGAUGAUCAAAUGCAUAUGCCUAGCAAUUGAAAUCUCCAACUAGGAACAAAAAACUAAUCACAAAAAGCAAAGGAUUCACUUUGGUGUUCACAGUAGGAGCAACAGCAGCAUCUUGUUUGCAGUUCUGGUAGCAGCAGCAGCUGCAAUGGCUUCAGCCAUAUCAAAUAUCCUGUGGCACAGAGGGCUUCGAGGUUAAGAGAUACAAAUUUGCUUACCGCAUGAACUUUGCAGUUUGAUUUUUACUUUGAUUUGGUCACCUUGCUUUCUUUGCUCUUGAUUGUUUUCUAGCCCUACUUCUGUGACUACAUUAAAUAAUUCUUUAGCUAAUAAUAAUCCUUCCAAUAAAUUCACUCUUCUGCUUGAAUGAUUCACA
RNAcentral lists this long non-coding RNA (1909 nucleotides) under Homo sapiens (human). Its description in RNAcentral is "HSALNT0297161". The record is from RNAcentral. Lineage: Eukaryota; Metazoa; Chordata; Mammalia; Primates; Hominidae.